UACGUAGGUGGCAAGCGUUGUCCGGAUUUACUGGGUGUAAAGGGCGUGUAGCCGGGCUUACAAGUCAGAUGUGAAAUCCGGGGGCUCAACCCCCGAACUGCAUUUGAAACUGUAGGUCUUGAGUAUCGGAGAGGCAGGCGGAAUUCCUAGUGUAGCGGUGGAAUGCGUAGAUAUUAGGAGGAACACCAGUGGCGAAGGCGGCCUGCUGGACGACAACUGACGGUGAGGCGCGAAAGCGUGGGGAGCAAACAGG
Molecule: ribosomal RNA, 253 nt
Filed under: uncultured bacterium
Lineage: Bacteria
Description: partial 16S ribosomal RNA
Rfam family: Bacterial small subunit ribosomal RNA
Source: RNAcentral